This 253-nucleotide ribosomal RNA is filed under the name uncultured bacterium. RNAcentral describes it as "partial 16S ribosomal RNA". It matches the Rfam family "Bacterial small subunit ribosomal RNA", at positions 524 to 776 of the family's 1533-position model. The record is from RNAcentral.
UACAGAGGGUGCAAGCGUUGUUCGGAAUUAUUGGGCGUAAAGGGCGCGUAGGCGGUGCGGUAAGUCCGCUGUGAAAUCUCUGGGCUCAACUCAGAGUCUGCUGUGGAAACUGCCGUGCUUGAGUGUGGGAGAGGUGAGUGGAAUUCCCGGUGUAGCGGUGAAAUGCGUAGAUAUCGAGAGGAACACCUGUGGCGAAAGCGGCUCACUGGACCGCAACUGACGCUGAUGCGCGAAAGCUAGGGGAGCAAACAGG